GCAAUGGUUCACUGCACAAGUGAUCAAAAGGGAAUCGGGUGAAAAUCCCGGACAGUCCCGCUGCUGUAAGUUGUCUUUCAGGCGACGGAGACAAAGCCACUGGUCAAACAUCGGAAAGACCGGGAAGGCCUCCGCACCGGACAACAAAGUCAGAAGACCUGCCUUGC
This 167-nucleotide non-coding RNA is filed under the name uncultured Prevotella sp. Lineage: Bacteria; Pseudomonadati; Bacteroidota; Bacteroidia; Bacteroidales; Prevotellaceae. The record is from RNAcentral.